GGGGGUGGAGGAUGUAGACAACUAUAAUCAUGCUGAAACACAAACAUACCUUUCAGAAUCCAAAUAAAUUUAUUAUAAUUCUUCCUGAUUAUUUUAAACAGGUGUGCAAUUAUGAAAUCUUAUGCUAAUUUUAUGUCUUUGCUUAUUUAUUAUGUAACAAGUAUGCAACUAAAGAAUCAUAAAAAUUUAUGUUAAUUUAUGCCUUUAGAUUUAACUAACUAUUUUUAUAUCUUCGUCUCUUGUUACAAAAAUGGCUUCAAAAUACAAAGGUAUUCUACGUACUAUUCCCAUAGCCUUAUAAGAUGAGGACAAUGCAGUAAUGAGACAAUAAGGCAGCAC
RNAcentral lists this long non-coding RNA (339 nucleotides) under Elaeis guineensis (African oil palm). RNAcentral describes it as "long non-coding RNA (EGUI_LNC037933)". Lineage: Eukaryota; Viridiplantae; Streptophyta; Magnoliopsida; Arecales; Arecaceae. The record is from RNAcentral.